CCCCUUUCCCUGGAGGAAGAGACUAGGGGUGAUAGUGUCAGUCCUGGAGCUCUAUUCCUUCAAGUCUGCCUCUAAAGCCAUUUCCUCCAUAGAAUCUUUCCUGGUACGUUUAAUCUCCCAGGGAGCCACUUACUCUCUUUGACCUUCCCAAUCCAAGUUGCGGAGAACUUACCUAUUCAGUGGACAAGCCUGACUUUUUCAGAACGAGAUGGAGAAGCAGAUUGAGAAUCCUCAGGGAAGAGCCCUGCCCGUCACCAUGGACUCCAGACCCGAGUCCACAGGGUGACAAGGCUCAGCCACUGCACCACUGGGGUCAGCCCCAGCUCGCCCUCCGCCACCUGUGAAAAAGGGAUUCAAGUAGCGUGCUUGGUGCUCCCCACUUCCCUCCUGCACCUGUGUGGUGGAGGCCGGGCAGCCAGAGACACUUGGGAACCUGCCUUGAAGAACAGUCAGGAGUCAGAGAGAUGAGCAGAGGACCCUGAGCCUGGGAGGCCUUUCCUUGGGACCAAAGGGGGAAAGGUCACCUUUGGGAUCAACCCCAGGACACCAUCUUGAGCAGCACUGACAGCAACUCUUUUGAAAGCUCACACCUGCAGUGCUGGCCCUGUCCCUCCUCAUUUGUUCAUUCAUUCAACACACAGUCUUGGGGUUCCUUCUGUGGGUUGAGCUCCUCUCUGGUAGAGAAGAUUGACAUUCUCUGCCAUGGGGAGAGUGUGCUCACCAGGCGACGCCAUCAUGCCCACUGCCUUCGGGGGCCUCCCAUAUGGUGGGCAGCUCCCUGGAGUGGGUGGACUGGAGCCAGCCCGCCUGCACUUAGCCCACAUCUCCCACUCCUAGCUGGGUCCCCUGGCAGGUUUCUUAACCUUUCUGGGUCUCAGCUGCCUCAUUUGCUACAAGGGGAUGAUAAAAAGAGUGCCCAAGCUGAGGGAGGUUUGGAGCAGAGGUCAGCAAAUUUCUACUGUAAAGAGCCGGUGGUAAAUAUUUCCAGCUUGUGGCCCAGAAGGUCUUUGCCACAGCUACUCUGGAAGCAGUCAUAGAUAUAAAUGAAUGUGCAUGGCUGUGCUCCAAUACAACUUUACUUAUGGACACUGAAAUGUGAGUAUCAUAUAAUUUUCCUGUGUCAUGAAAUCUCAUCCUUUUGAUUUUUUUCAAACCAUUUAAAAAUGUGGGAAUGUUUCUUAGUUUGCAAGCUGUACACAAACAGGUGUGGGGCUGGAUCUGGCUGACCCCUGGUCUAGGGGAUUAAAUGAGUCAGAGCACAUGGCAAGUGCUCAAGAAAGUUUAG
Equus caballus (horse) is the source of this 1285-nucleotide long non-coding RNA. The record is from Ensembl. NCBI's taxonomy places the organism in Eukaryota, Metazoa, Chordata, Mammalia, Perissodactyla, Equidae.